CUGAGUUCUGAUAGGCAAAUCCGUCGGAGCAUUAAUCCUGAGACCUGACGCAUAGCCGAUUGAGGCGAAGUAGCGUGAUCCUAUGCUGUCGAGAAAAGCCUCUAGCGAGUUCCAAGCGGCCCGUACCCCAAACCGACACAGGUGGUCAGGUAGAGAAUACCAAGGUGCUCGAGCGAACUAUGGUUAAGGAACUCGGCAAAAUACCCCCGUAACUUCGGGAGAAGGGGGGCCGGGUGCUGUGAAGCCUCUUGCAGGCUAGCGGUGUCCGGCCGCAGAGACCAGGGGGAAGCGACUGUUUACUAAAAACACAGGUGCAUGCUAAGUCGCAAGACGACGUAUAUGCACUGACGCCUGCCCGGUGCUGGAAGGUUAAGAGGACCGGUCAACCCUUCGGUGUGAAGCUGAGAAUUUAAGCCCCAGUAAACGGCGGUGGUAACUAUAACCAUCCUAAGGUAGCGAAAUUCCUUGUCGGGUAAGUUCCGACCUGCACGAAUGGCGUAACGACUUCCCUACUGUCUCAACCAUAGGCUCGGCGAAAUUGCACUACGAGUAAAGAUGCUCGUUACGCGCGGCAGGACGGAAAGACCCCGGGACCUUUACUACAGCUUGGUAUUGGUGUCUGGUUCAAUUUGUGUAGGAUAGGUGGGAGACUUUGAAGCGGUCACGCCAGUGGCUGUGGAGUCGACGUUGAAAUACCACUCUGGUUGUACCGAACAUCUAACUUAGGUCCAUGAUCUGGAUCAGGGACAGUGCCUGGUGGGUAGUUUAACUGGGGCGGUUGCCUCCUAAAGAGUAACGGAGGCGCCCAAAGGUUCCCUCAGCCUGGUUGGUAAUCAGGUUUCGAGUGUAAGUGCACAAGGGAGCUUGACUGCGAGAGGGACAUCUCGAGCAGGGACGAAAGUCGGGACUAGUGAUCCGGCACCACCUUGUGGAAGGGGUGUCGCUCAACGGAUAAAAGGUACCCCGGGGAUAACAGGCUGAUCUUGCCCAAGAGUCCAUAUCGACGGCAUGGUUUGGCACCUCGAUGUCGGCUCGUCGCAUCCUGGGGCUGGAGUAGGUCCCAAGGGUUGGGCUGUUCGCCCAUUAAAGCGGCACGCGAGCUGGGUUUAGAACGUCGUGAGACAGUUCGGUCCCUAUCCGCCGCGCGCGCAGGAGUUUUGAGGAAGGCUGUCCCUAGUACGAGAGGACCGGGACGGACGAACCUCUGGUGUGCCAGUUGUUCCACCAGGAGCACGGCUGGUUGGCUACGUUCGGAAGGGAUAACCGCUGAAAGCAUCUAAGCGGGAAGCCUGUUCCAAGAUGAGAACUCCCACCCCAUAGAGGGUUAAGGCCCCCGGCAAGACCACCGGGUUGAUAGGCCGGAAGUGGAAGCACCGCAAGGUGUGCAGCUGACCGGUACUAAUAGGCCGAGGACUUACCACA
This 1422-nucleotide ribosomal RNA is filed under the name metagenome. RNAcentral describes it as "bacterial LSU rRNA". It matches the Rfam family "Bacterial large subunit ribosomal RNA", at positions 1522 to 2925 of the family's 2925-position model. The record is from RNAcentral.